Molecule: long non-coding RNA, 281 nt
Filed under: Mus spicilegus (steppe mouse)
Lineage: Eukaryota; Metazoa; Chordata; Mammalia; Rodentia; Muridae
Description: lncRNA (ENSMSIG00000001715.1)
Source: RNAcentral
GGGGCCCAAAUGCCCAGGAGUACUGAGAGAUUGGAGGGGGCAUUGCUUCCUCCAGGAAGGUGUUGCAUCCAGAAGACUUCACGUGAUCAAGUUCCAAGCCCACAGACCCGCCAGGGCUUUGGUAGGCUGGUGUGAAGAUAUGAAGCACCUGGGCACUGAGCCUCAGUGGAAGUGGCUGCAGGGCCAGAUCUUCUGAGAGCAUUUCUCUGAGGACGAGGAGGUGUUGCUAGCAAUGAAGUAUUGGCAGCAGGUGUCCCCGCUUAUUCUCCAUAUCCCACAGG